UUCCAUAAACAUUUUAGUUAUAUUACAACUUUAGUUAAAAAAAAGCCUCAAGUUCUAAAUUUCUAAAAUUUUGGCGCAACUUUAACUCGAUCAUGUUCACAAAUAACAGAGGCGUACGUGAAAGUCGUGCAUAAUCAUCAGUUAUUACUUCUUCUAUUAUUUUUUUUUCAAACAGAAAUACAAUAUAGAUGCUUGACAGGAAAAUGAGGAUCUUGUCCAAGAAUCAAACAUACAGACACUACUGUCAAAUAGACAAGUAUUUUGACGUUAUGUAAAUAUCUUCUCAACAUACGGGACAUCGGUAAUACUAAAAGGUGUCUGGCUGUCAAAACAAUGAAAUAAUAUUGUCUUGAAUCUGUCCAUAAUCGAUAAUUAAGACAUAGAUAUUUUAGUAUAAAAGUAAAGCGUGCCCAGAACUUUAACUACAUCAGGUUGGUUAGUAACAACGAAAGACAAAAAGAUGAAUAAAGCUGCCCUUUCCGCCUUCACAGUUUUCGUCCUUUUGGUUGCAACAGACGGAUUUUACAUUCAUCCCAAGUAUCAUUGGAAACAGCCCAUGCACUACCCAAAAGUACAUCAUUAUAAUCAGAUGCAACAUUAUCCCGGGCACCCCGGGCACCCCGUGUAUCCCGUGCAUCCAGGCUUUACUGGACAUCCAGCUGGUCAGAAUGUAAGACCUGCUUUCCCCGCACCUGGAUCGAUCACCGGUGAAAGAGAAGACCAGCUAUUGGAUAUCAUGGCAGCUGGCUUACUCUUUAGAUCAGGAAAUACUGCAGGAGGCACUCUGUCACUUCUCCGCGCAUUUUAGAAUUUCGUUAAUGGAAAACAGUGCGCAUGAUUGCAGAUACAAAUUUUGAUGCCUGAUUUUAAAGUGGAAUUCUACAUUAAUAUUUCUGAAAAACACAUCCGUGUAUAUAAGUUUUUGUAAUUGAAAAUUCAUUAUUCUUGGUGUACACUACUUUAUAUUUAAUUCUUCUUAGUAACAGGGGUACCAAGUCCUUGUUCCUUAAAGACAUUUAAUGUGAAAAGUUGCUAAUUUGUAGAAGACCUAGUAAGGUAUUUAUGGGACAUAUUUUAUAAAUGUAACUGUUAAAAUUGUAUGCAGCACUGUCUUCGUUUUAUUAUUUAUUUUUUUAAAAAUUAUA
This is an RNA transcript of Mercenaria mercenaria, 1145 nucleotides long. RefSeq lists it as uncharacterized. Lineage: Eukaryota; Metazoa; Mollusca; Bivalvia; Venerida; Veneridae. The record is from RefSeq and is a predicted model, not a curated record. The transcript is spliced from 3 exons.